RNAcentral lists this ribosomal RNA (428 nucleotides) under uncultured archaeon. Its description in RNAcentral is "bacterial SSU rRNA". It matches the Rfam family "Archaeal small subunit ribosomal RNA", at positions 474 to 903 of the family's 1478-position model. The record is from RNAcentral.
UACCUGCAGCUCGAGUGGUAACCGCUAUUAUUGGGCCUAAAGCGUCCGUAGCCGGUUUGGUAAAUAUCUGGGUAAAUCGUGAGGCUUAACUUCACGAAUUUCGGAUAGUCUGCCAGACUUGGGAUCGGGGGAGGUCAGAGGUACUCCAGGGGUAGCGGUGAAAUGUUGUAAUCCUUGGAGGACCACCGGUAGCGAAGGCGUCUGACUAGAACGAGUCCGACGGUGAGGGACGAAGCCCUGGGGCGCAAACCGGAUUAGAUACCCGGGUAGUCCAGGGUGUAAACAAUGUGGGCUUUGUAUUGGAGGUUCCACGUGGGCGUCCAGUGCAGAAGAGAAGUUGUUAAGCCCACCGCCUGGGAAGUACGGUCGCAAGGCUGAAACUUAAAGGAAUUGGCGGGGAGCACAGCAACGGGAGGAGCGUGCGGUUU